GAUGAACGCUGGCGGCGUGCCUAAUACAUGCGAGUCGAGCGAACAGACGAGGAGCUUGCUCCUCUGACGUUAGCGGCGGACGGGUGAGUAACACGUGGAUAACCUACCUAUAAGACUGGGAUAACUUCGGGAAACCGGAGCUAAUACCGGAUAAUAUAUUGAACCGCAUGGUUCAAUAGUGAAAGACGGUUUUGCUGUCACUUAUAGAUGGAUCCGCGCCGCAUUAGCUAGUUGGUAAGGUAACGGCUUACCAAGGCAACGAUGCGUAGCCGACCUGAGAGGGGGAUCGGCCACACUGGAACUGAGAAACGGCCCAGAACCCUACGGGAGGCAGCAGGAGGGAAUUUUCCCAAAUGGGGGAAAGCCUGACGGAGCAACGCCGGGGGGGUGAUAAAGGGUUUCGGAUCGUAAAACCCUUUUAUUAGGGAAAAAAAAAUGUGUAAGUAACUAUGCACGUCUUGACGGUACCUAAGCAGAAAGCCACGGCUAACUACGU
This 496-nucleotide ribosomal RNA is filed under the name uncultured bacterium. RNAcentral describes it as "partial 16S ribosomal RNA". It matches the Rfam family "Bacterial small subunit ribosomal RNA", at positions 28 to 506 of the family's 1533-position model. The record is from RNAcentral.